AUGGCGACCGGCGCACGGGUGAGUAACACGUAUCCAACCUGCCGAUAACUCGGGGAUAGCCUUUCGAAAGAAAGAUUAAUACCCGAUGGUAUGAUCAGACCGCAUGGUCUUGUUAUUAAAGAAUUUCGGUUAUCGAUGGGGAUGCGUUCCAUUAGGCAGUUGGUGAGGUAACGGCUCACCAAACCUUCGAUGGAUAGGGGUUCUGAGAGGAAGGUCCCCCACAUUGGAACUGAGACACGGUCCAA
Molecule: ribosomal RNA, 245 nt
Filed under: uncultured bacterium
Lineage: Bacteria
Description: partial 16S ribosomal RNA
Rfam family: Bacterial small subunit ribosomal RNA
Source: RNAcentral